This 274-nucleotide ribosomal RNA is filed under the name uncultured bacterium. RNAcentral describes it as "partial 16S ribosomal RNA". It matches the Rfam family "Bacterial small subunit ribosomal RNA", at positions 523 to 796 of the family's 1533-position model. The record is from RNAcentral.
AUACGGAGGGUGCAAGCGUUAUCCGGAUUCAUUGGGUUUAAAGGGUGCGCAGGCGGACUUGUAAGUCAGUGGUGAAAUCCCGGGGCUCAACCUCGGAACUGCCAUUGAUACUGCAAGUCUUGAGUUUGGUUGAAGUGGGCGGAAUGUAGCAUGUAGCGGUGAAAUGCAUAGAUAUGCUACAGGACACCGAUCGCGAAGGCAGCUCACUAAACCAACACUGACGCUCAGGCACGAAAGCGUGGGGAGCGAACAGGAUUAGAAACCCUAGUAGUCC